RNAcentral lists this ribosomal RNA (519 nucleotides) under uncultured bacterium. RNAcentral's name for it is "partial 16S ribosomal RNA". It matches the Rfam family "Bacterial small subunit ribosomal RNA", at positions 28 to 507 of the family's 1533-position model. The record is from RNAcentral.
GACGAACGCUGGCGGCGUGCCUAAUACAUGCAAGUCGAGCGAGUCUGCCUUGAAGAUCGGAGUGCUUGCACUCUGUGAAACAAGAUACAGGCUAGCGGCGGACGGGUGAGUAACACGUGGGUAACCUGCCCAAGAGAUCGGGAUAACACCUGGAAACAGAUGCUAAUACCGGAUAACAACAGAUGAUGCCUAUCAACUGUUUAAAAGAUGGUUCUGCUAUCACUCUUGGAUGGACCUGCGGUGCAUUAGCUAGUUGGUAGGGUAACGGCCUACCAAGGCGAUGAUGCAUAGCCGAGUUGAGAGACUGAUCGGCCACAUUGGGACUGAGACACGGCCCAAACUCCUACGGGAGGCAGCAGUAGGGAAUCUUCCACAAUGGACGCAAGUCUGAUGGAGCAACGCCGCGUGAGUGAAGAAGGGGUUCGGCUCGUAAAGCUCUGUUGUUGGUGAAGAAGGACAGGGGUAGUAACUGACCUUUGUUUGACGGUAAUCAAUUAGAAAGUCACGGCUAACUACGUG